RNAcentral lists this ribosomal RNA (253 nucleotides) under uncultured bacterium. RNAcentral's name for it is "partial 16S ribosomal RNA". It matches the Rfam family "Bacterial small subunit ribosomal RNA", at positions 524 to 776 of the family's 1533-position model. The record is from RNAcentral.
GACGAACCGUGCGAACGUUGUUCGGAAUCACUGAGCUUAAAGGGCGCGUAGGCGGGCCUCCAAGUCCGGGGUGAAAUCCUCCAGCCUAACUGGAGAAGAGCCUCGGAGACUGGGGGCCUCGAGGGAGGUAGGGGCGUGCGGAACUAUGGGUGGAGCGGUGAAAUGCAUUGAUAUCCAUAGGAACUCCGGUGGCGAAGGCGGCACGCUGGACCUCUUCUGACGCUGAGGCGCGAAAGCGUGGGGAGCAAACAGG